AUUUUAAAAUUUUAUUUAUUUGUAUUGCUAAAAAUUAGCAUGCCUGAUAAAAUAAUAAAACAGUGACACAUGACAUGCUACGUGUAUCUCAUGCUGAUAUACAAAGACCAGUUUUAAACAGUAAAAAUGAAUGAAAUUUUUAACA
Molecule: non-coding RNA, 145 nt
Organism: Gossypium raimondii (Peruvian cotton)
Lineage: Eukaryota; Viridiplantae; Streptophyta; Magnoliopsida; Malvales; Malvaceae
Source: Rfam